This 253-nucleotide ribosomal RNA is filed under the name uncultured bacterium. Its description in RNAcentral is "partial 16S ribosomal RNA". It matches the Rfam family "Bacterial small subunit ribosomal RNA", at positions 524 to 776 of the family's 1533-position model. The record is from RNAcentral.
UACGUAGGGGGCUAGCGUUGUCCGGAAUCAUUGGGCGUAAAGCGCGUGUAGGCGGCCCGAUAAGUCCGCUGUGAAAGUCCAGGGCUCAACCCUGGGAUGCCGGUGGAUACUGUCGGGCUCGAGUCCGGAAGAGGAGAGUGGAAUUCCUGGUGUAGCGGUGAAAUGCGUAGAGAUCAGGAGGAACACCCAUGGCGAAGGCAGCUCUCUGGUCGACAUCUGACGCUGAGACGCGAAAGCGUGGGGAGCGAACGGG